UGGUUAAAAAGCUCGUAGUUGGAUCUCAACAGCCUUGGAAGCGGUUAACUUUGUAGUUUUACAGCUUUAUAGGCUGUGCUUUUGCUGGAGGUUUAGGGGUGCUCUUGAUCGAGUGUCUCUGGAUGCCAGCAGGUUUACUUUGAAAAAAUUAGAGUGCUCAAAGCAGGCUAAAAUGCCUGAAUAUUCGUGCAUGGAAUAAUAGAAUAGGAUGUCGAUCCUAUUUUGUUGGUUUUCGGGACUCGACAUAAUGAUAAAUAGGGACAGUCGGGGGCAUUUGUAUUCAAACGACAGAGGUGAAAUUCUUGGACCGUUUGAAGACAAACUACUGCGAAAGCAUUUGCCAAGAAUGUUUUCAUUAAUCAAGAACGAAAGUUAGAGGUUCGAAGGC
This 388-nucleotide ribosomal RNA is filed under the name uncultured marine eukaryote. Its description in RNAcentral is "SSU rRNA". It matches the Rfam family "Eukaryotic small subunit ribosomal RNA", at positions 617 to 1005 of the family's 1831-position model. The record is from RNAcentral.